This is a long non-coding RNA of Ostrinia nubilalis (European corn borer), 429 nucleotides long. RefSeq lists it as uncharacterized. NCBI's taxonomy places the organism in Eukaryota, Metazoa, Arthropoda, Insecta, Lepidoptera, Crambidae. The transcript has 3 exons. The record is from RefSeq and is a predicted model, not a curated record.
UUCGGGCUAAUCCCUAACAAUGGCAACCAUUUUAGUGAUUUGUUUUCACGCUGUUGUUUCGGUCGAAUCUAUUACGUUAAGAAAGGAGUGUCCCCACGACGAAGUCCACAAGUCCUGCGCCUUCCACGAGGAGUACAGCUGCUGGCAGCAGGCAGAUAGGAUGGACCGGGUCAGAUCACUCCCCAAACGGCUGCCAUACUGCCAGUCUGGGUGCUAUUGCAAGAAGGGUCUAGUCCGAGAAUUUCCUGGCGGGACCUGUAUAUCAGCUGGCCUCUGCCGAAACAGAAAACUGCGGGAUGUUCUUAAGAAAAUCAUCACCGAUCAAUAAAAAUUACUGAUCAACUAACAAUAAGCUGACACAAAAAAAACUGCUGAAUUAAUUACCUACCGCAAUAUCUAUCUAAAUGUAUGUAACACUUACCUUUAGCG